UACGGAGGGUGCAAGCGUUAAUCGGAAUUACUGGGCGUAAAGCGCACGCAGGCGGUUUGAUAAGCCAGUUGUGAAAUCCCCGGGCUCAACCUGGGAACUGCAUCCGAUACUGGCAAGCUUGAGUGCCGGAGAGGAGGGUAGAAUUCCCGGUGUAGCGGUGAAAUGCGUAGAGAUCUGGAGGAAUACCGGUGGCGAAGGCGGCAUCCUGGACGGAGACUGACACUCAGGUGCGAAAGCGUGGGGAGCAAACGGG
RNAcentral lists this ribosomal RNA (253 nucleotides) under uncultured bacterium. RNAcentral describes it as "partial 16S ribosomal RNA". It matches the Rfam family "Bacterial small subunit ribosomal RNA", at positions 524 to 776 of the family's 1533-position model. The record is from RNAcentral.